Molecule: ribosomal RNA, 465 nt
Filed under: Vreelandella stevensii
Lineage: Bacteria; Pseudomonadati; Pseudomonadota; Gammaproteobacteria; Oceanospirillales; Halomonadaceae
Description: partial 16S ribosomal RNA
Rfam family: Bacterial small subunit ribosomal RNA
Source: RNAcentral
CCUACGGGGGGCAGCAGUGGGGAAUAUUGGACAAUGGGGGCAACCCUGAUCCAGCCAUGCCGCGUGUGUGAAGAAGGCCCUCGGGUUGUAAAGCACUUUCAGUGAGGAAGAACGCCUGGUGGUUAAUACCCAUCAGGAAAGACAUCACUCACAGAAGAAGCACCGGCUAACUCCGUGCCAGCAGCCGCGGUAAUACGGGGGGUGCGAGCGUUAAUCGGAAUUACUGGGCGUAAAGCGCGCGUAGGUGGCUUGAUAAGCCGGUUGUGAAAGCCCCGGGCUCAACCUGGGAACGGCAUCCGGAACUGUCAAGCUAGAGUGCAGGAGAGGAAGGUAGAAUUCCCGGUGUAGCGGUGAAAUGCGUAGAGAUCGGGAGGAAUACCAGUGGCGAAGGCGGCCUUCUGGACUGACACUGACACUGAGGUGCGAAAGCGUGGGUAGCAAACAGGAUUAGAUACCCUGGUAGUC